RNAcentral lists this unclassified non-coding RNA (2596 nucleotides) under Hevea brasiliensis (rubber tree). The record is from RNAcentral. Lineage: Eukaryota; Viridiplantae; Streptophyta; Magnoliopsida; Malpighiales; Euphorbiaceae.
UUCUAUAUGAUAUAAUAACUUGUUAUGCCAACCAUUCUCUUUCAUUCUUCUGUUUCUCAACUGGAGUUGCUUCAUUUAUAUCCUUUAUUUGUCAAAUAUUCAUCUGGGUUUUCUCAUCCUUCUUGCUUUUCUAUUAAAAUAAACAAAAAAAAUCUUUCUCAAUUAAAUUCCGAGUUGUUUUGCCCUUUUUCUCUGUAUAUUCGGCCUUCUUCUUUGACGAUAACAAUAUUCAACGCUUGCCUAAUUUAGUUUCCUUUUGUUUUUGCUUCCCCUGUUUUGAUCUCUCUACUAUUUCAAAUCCUGAAAAAGCUGCAGCCUUCGAAAAUUAUUCUAAAAUGAAAUGUUUUCACUACUUCAAGGACAAAUCCAGAAGCAGGCAACAAAGAUCAGCACCAGAGUUGAAAGAGCAAUCAAAAUCGGAUUAUUCAGGGUCGGGGACACACAGAAUCGCAAAAUCCUCGUGCUCGGAAACUUCAGCGCGUCGUAUACCCGAAUUAUAUGAGGAGAAGGCUCGCAAUCUGCGAGUCUUCUCCUUCUCAGAGCUCAGACAUGCGACCCAUGAUUUCGACAGACUAUUAAGGAUUGGGGAAGGUGGAUUUGGGAGUGUCUACAAAGGCUCAAUCAAGCCUGCUGAUGGGAAAGGUGAACCCAUUGUAGUUGCAAUUAAGAAGCUUAACAAAGAUGGUUUGCAGGGUCAUAAACAAUGGGUGGCAGAAGUUCAAUUUCUAGGUGUGGUGGAGCAUCCAAAUCUUGUCAAACUUGUAGGAUAUUGUGCUGCGGACGGAGAAAGAGGAAUCCAGAGACUACUUGUAUAUGAGUUUAUGCCAAACAAAAGCUUAGAAGAUCAUCUUUUCAAUAGGGCAUACCCUGCACUUCCUUGGAAAACAAGAUUACAAAUAAUACUUGGAGCAGCUCAAGGGUUGGCUUAUCUGCACGAGGGCUUGGAAAUUCAGGUUAUCUUCUAAAAUAUGGUUAAUAACUACAAUACCCAUCGCUAUCUACCUUCUUUCUUUUUCUUUUGGUGGGUGAUAUUGCGUUGCCGUUGAGACCUACUUUUGCUUCAUCUGAAUAUUCAUGUUUUGUCCGGGAUUCAAGAUUUUGCCUCUGUUGCUAAAUUCUGAUUACUCGUGUAGGUUAUUUAUCGAGAUUUUAAAACCUCCAAUGUUUUAUUGGAUGAGAAUUUUAAACCGAAGCUUUCAGACUUUGGGCUUGCAAGGGAGGGGCCAGUGGCUGGACGAACGCAUGUUUCAACAGCAGUAAGUUUUUUUGGCACUAAAUUUAGCAUUAAUAGCCUGCAAUAAUGCUAACAAUUCUCCGACUCCAGCAAAACCCUUUUUUCUUAGUUGACUGCGCUGAGAAAUUAUUAGGUGCAUACUAUUUCUCACAACUAUUACACUAUUUUUAAAUACUUCAGUACAUCUAAUAAUGAGCCUGAUUGGACUCCUACCGAAGCUAGAAUCCAUAAAAAGAAUCCAUUUUGACAACCCUUGAGAGCCGCUUUUAGAAGCACUUGAUGCAAUUUUAUUGAUGUCCAUUAACAGUUUGCUCGACAUUAUACUUUAGAAUUCAAUUGUAGCAAUGGGAACUUGGUUUUUAUGAUCAGGUAAUGGGGACAAAUGGAUAUGCUGCUCCGGAUUACAUAGAGACAGGGCAUCUCACGACUAAAAGUGAUGUAUGGAGCUCUGGAGUUGUACUAUACGAGAUUAUUACUGGCAGGCGGUCCUUGGAAAGAAACCGCCCGAGAGCGGAGCAGAAGUUGCUGGAAUGGGUAAAGCAAUUCCCUCCUGAUAGUAAAAAGUUUGGGUUGAUAAUUGACCCACGACUUGAAAACCAGUAUUCUAUAGCUGUCGCUCGAAAAAUUGCCAGGUUAGCAGACAGCUGUUUGAUGAAGAGUGCAAAGGAUCGACCAAAGAUGACUCAAGUGGUAGAGUCUUUGAAGCAAAUAAUCCAGGAUUCAGAUGAAGAAGCGACCAUUUCAAAGGAAUCUUUUGAACCCUCAGAAACUGACUCGGCUGACUCGAGUAAGGAGCCAAAUCAACUGGAGGCCACUGAAUCUUGGAAAAGGCGGAUGACUCAUUUGGCAAAGCUUGGUGAGCACGUGGAGGGAGCAAGUAGAAGAAGAUUUAUGAUCAUGCAGAGAGCCAAAGUGGCCUAGAAGAUUUUAUAUUUGUAGAUUGCGUAACACUUUACUGGGAUCAUCUAGUGGAUUCAUUAUUUCAUUUGGUGCUAUUCGGUUGGUUAGAUUACUCACCUCAUUGGGAGACCAUUGAUACUGAAUAUGACGGCAGUUUCUUUUUGUACAGAGGCCAUUUCUGUGGACGGCCAAAUUAUUUAGUAGGAUUUUGCUGUCUUUGCUUUCUCCAUAGUCAGCACAAAUGAAUUGCAUGAAAACUCGGGAAUUACGCACAAAAUUAACUCAAAAAGAGCAAAUUGUCUGCAUUGAAGAAGUUCCAUCGCAUAUAGUUUUGGCACGAAGCUAUAAUCAUGGACAACAUAUUUCUAUUCUCUUAUAUUGUUGUUACCAUCCAAAAUACAAAGCCAGCUCUUCUAAGCUCAUAAACACCCUUUCCUUAAUAGAAGGGGGCGCCAAAAUAGG